CAACCCGGAUCGCGUCAUGUGACCACUUCUAGGCGUUCUGAUUGACUGAAAGCAGAAAGCAGAAAUAAUAGGUUGGGGAAGUAGAUUCCGUCCGUGUUGAAGUUGCUCCUGACUUUCAACGAAUUGCAUUGAAGUCUUAUAGGUCAUCUGUUUGCUGAGCCGUCACACCAAACAAUUAUUGUCUGUCACCUGAAUCUGGAUUUCAAAACUUUGAAGCAACAUGAUGCCCGGUGACGGUACGUUCGAUGGGGUGGGCCAGGCCCCCGCAAGAAACCCCCAGCAGGCGGCUGCCAACAAGAGGCUGCAGCAGACGCAGGCCCAGGUCGACGAGGUAGUAGGAAUUAUGCGAGUCAAUGUGGAAAAGGUGCUGGAAAGAGAUCAGAAAUUGACCGAACUGGAUGAUCGAGCCGAUGCACUCCAACAGGGAGCCACCCAAUUUGAGCAGCAAGCUGGGAAACUGAAAAGGAAAUACUGGUGGAAAAACCUGAAGAUGAUGAUCAUCAUGGGAGUGAUCGCAGCUGUCAUUUUGAUUAUUAUCUUAGUCCUGAUUUUCACCAAUUAAUAGUUGGUUGGUUUGGUUCCUUGCAAGUUUUCUGUCUUUUCUAAUUUAUUGCAACAUCAUUAUGGCCCGAAAGUUCCAACUCUCCUGAAAUGCUUCCAACACCAAUGCCGCAGCCAAUGCCGUCGCCGCAGCCUACACAACCUCCUGGAAAGUAAACGUCGCGCCGUAUUAAGGGACCCAAUUUUUGUCAAUUUAAUUGGAACACUGCAUUUUUCACGUCAAUUUCAAAACGCUGUGCCUUAAACCAACCACCGCCUUCCAGACAAGCUACAAUUAAUACAAAUUUUCAACUAUUUAAUGAAGAUAUACCGUAACAUACAGUUUUAAAAGGAUUUGUGAAGUUGAAACAGAGAUACAAUAUUGUACUGUACUUUGUGUUAAAUGAUUUAGGUAUUAUUUACUGCUUCUUAUUGUAAAGAGUUCUAACUUGGUUAUUAAGAGUCGGAAUAUAGUUUUAAUGAGGUGCUUUGUGUAAUCUUUCUCUACUUCUGUUCACAAUUGGCCUAAACGAUUCCUAUAGUUUGUUAAAAAUUAGUAUUUUGCUAAGUUAUAACUUGUAAUUAUGUUAUACUUAUUAUGCAAGAGAUAAUUGUAAUAAAACAUUUGCUUUGACAUAUUA
Molecule: RNA transcript, 1181 nt
Organism: Cloeon dipterum
Lineage: Eukaryota; Metazoa; Arthropoda; Insecta; Ephemeroptera; Baetidae
Gene name: synaptobrevin-1-like
Exons: 8
Source: RefSeq, a predicted model, not a curated record